GACGAACGCUGGCGGCGCGCCUAACACAUGCAAGUCGAACGGAGCGGCGAGAAGCUUGCUUUUCUUAGCUUAGUGGCGAACGGGUGAGUAACGCGUGAGUAACCUGCCCUGGAGUGGGGGACAACAGUUGGAAACGACUGCUAAUACCGCAUAAGCCCACGAUCCGGCAUCGGAUUGAGGGAAAAGGAUUUAUUCGCUACAGGAUGGACUCGCGUCCAAUUAGCUAGUGGGUGGGGUAACGGCCCACCAAGGCGACGAUUGGUAGCCGGACUGGGAGGUGGACCGGCCGCGUUGGGAAUGAGACACGGCCCAGACUCCUACGGGAGGCAGCAGUGGGGGAUAUUGCACAAUGGGGGAAACCCUGAUGCAGCGACGCCGCGUGGAGGAAGAAGGUUUUCGGAUUGUAAACUCCUGUCGUUAGGGACGAUAAUGACGGUACCUAACAAGAAAGCACCGGCUAACUACGUG
This 468-nucleotide ribosomal RNA is filed under the name uncultured bacterium. RNAcentral's name for it is "partial 16S ribosomal RNA". It matches the Rfam family "Bacterial small subunit ribosomal RNA", at positions 28 to 507 of the family's 1533-position model. The record is from RNAcentral.